Long non-coding RNA from Onychostoma macrolepis, 514 nucleotides. RefSeq lists it as uncharacterized. The record is from RefSeq and is a predicted model, not a curated record. The transcript has 3 exons. Lineage: Eukaryota; Metazoa; Chordata; Actinopteri; Cypriniformes; Cyprinidae.
GUUUGUUCUUCUCGAAGACACUAGACGAGACAACCGCAAUAGGCUCUAAUAGAAGUGCGUGUCGUGGCCGUGCUGAAUGGGGAGGCUGCUGCGGUGGGCUGGGACGUGCCGUCUUCUCCCCAUUGUGUGCGUGUCAAAGCCCAAGCUGGCCGGAGACUUCAUCUUGCACCGGAGCUUUUUUUCCGGAUGGCUCUUAGACCAGCUCAGCAUGGGUUCAGAAUGAGGACGGAUCUGUGGAAAGGAAAACUGUGUGUGGACUGUGCACAGCCUUUGUCACUGGGCCGCAGGGUUCGGGCUGAUGCUGGGCAUUUGAGCGGUGGCGUGGCUGAUAUGGUUAGACAGGGCAUGGGGCGCUGUGCCAAGACAGUGCCAGCAUCUACCUCUGACCUGCUGGCACUUGAUCAGCACGCUUGUGCCAUCCAGCCUGCUAACACCCCACUGUACGCAGCGGGACCCAACAGCAAGCCCUGUCCUGCUCCACUACUGUAAGUAGAGAGGACAAUAACAGAGAGAC